GAUGUAGCUUAGUGGUAGAGUGCUUGCCUUGCAUGUGUGAAACCCUGGGUUCAAUUCCCAGUAAUGCA
RNAcentral lists this transfer RNA (68 nucleotides) under Marmota monax (woodchuck). RNAcentral describes it as "tRNA.Ala". The stretch from base 3 to 63 matches the Rfam family "tRNA", at positions 6 to 65 of the family's 71-position model. From Rfam's summary of the family: Transfer RNA (tRNA) molecules are approximately 80 nucleotides in length. The record is from RNAcentral. Lineage: Eukaryota; Metazoa; Chordata; Mammalia; Rodentia; Sciuridae.